AAUAUCAUUCUGAGGAGCUACAGU
Molecule: non-coding RNA, 24 nt
Filed under: Cricetulus griseus (Chinese hamster)
Lineage: Eukaryota; Metazoa; Chordata; Mammalia; Rodentia; Cricetidae
Source: RNAcentral